AAGACCCGAAGCCGGACGAUCUAUUCGUGGACAAGCUGAAGUUUUCCGAAAGGAGAAUGGAAGGCUGAACCGUUGUUGUGUGCAUGCACUCGAAUGAUCUGCGAAUAGGGGUGAAAAGCCUAUCUAGUUCGGCGAUGGCUGGUUCCUGUUGAAAUAUGCCUCAGUAUAGUCUCACUUAGUUUGUUGGCGGGGUAAAGUACGGAUAGAAUUCGCAGGGUCGAAAGAUUACGGAAUUUCUUCCAACUCUGAACCUGUCAGCUGCUUAAAGUGGGAAUCGGGGGCAGCGCGUAAGGUGCUGUUCCGAGACCGGAACAACGGAGACUGGAGUUAAGGUCCCAAAAUGUAUACUAAGUGUAACGAAAGGUGUCUUGAACCUAAGACAGUGGGGAUGUAGGCCCAGAAGCAGCCAACAUUUAAAGAAAGCGUAAUAGCUCACCUAUCGAGGUUCGAGGCCCUGAAAAUGGACGGGGCUAAGUAUACUACCGAUACUCCGGAGGCGCUCAGAUGAGCGUUCUGGUAAGCAGGCGUCUGUUCUGCGCAGAAGUUUUUUCGUAAGAAAGGAUGGAGCGGGACGGAAUGAGAAUCUUGGCGUUAGUAAGAUCAGAUCAACCUGAGAAUGGUUGGCGUCGCAAGAGCAAGGUUUCCUUGGCAAUAUCGUUUAACCAAGGGUUAGUCGGUACCUAAGCUAUACCUUAACUGAGUAUAGCGAAUGGAAAUCAGGUUAAUAUUCCUGAACUAAUCAAACUUUGCAUAUAAUUCGCUUUGGGAUAGGCAGGCAUCUGGAAGGAUGCUUGGAUAUAGAAAUCUGUGGAUCGUAAUGAUAAGAAGCAGAAGAAUAUAUUUGAACAAAACUGUUGAAUCCGGGAGCCCGUGAAAAUUUUAUAUGCGCGUGGGUUUGGUUAGCCGUACCCAGAAUCGGCACUGAUGCUCUGGUUUAGAAGACUAAGACGUGAAAGGACAAACUGGUUAAGGGAAUUCGGCAAUUUAGCCCCGUAUCUUCGGUAUAAGGGGUGUCUAUGUUUGUGUUUGAUAUGUAAAAUGCAUUUGUAGAUCGCAGUGACAAGGACUGCCCGACUGUUUAUCAAAAACAUAGCUGAUUGCUAAUCCGAAAGGACGUGUAUAAUCGGCGAGAUCUGCCCAGUGGUGGUGUUUCAAACUUCGGUUCAACGGAGCUAAGACCCACUAAACGGCGGGCCUAACUAUGAGGCUCUUAAGGUAGCGUAAUGCCUUGUCGUUUGAAUGACGACGUGCAUGAACGGUUUAACGAGGUGGUCGCUGUCCCUAACCAGAACCUUCUGAACUCACUUACCGGUGAAAAUGCCGGUAACGCCUAGUGGGAAGCGGAGACCUUGUGAACCUUUACUGCAACUUGUUGUUGUGAUUUUAAAGAGAAUGCAUAGCAUAGGUAGGAGCGUAGAUGUUUGUUCUCAGGAACAAACGGAGCGACCUUGUAAUACUACCCAUUGUUUUUGACAUUACUCACCCGAGAGGGGACACCAGCAGGCGGGCAGUUUGGCUGGGGCGGCACCCUGCAGAAAAGAUAUCUGUAGGGCCCAAAGACAAGCUCAUUCGGGUUGGAAAUCCGAAGUAGAGUGCGAGGGCAAAAGCUUGUCUAACUGUAUUUCGAAAAGCAAGAUAUGCAGAGAUGAAAGUCGGGCCUAGCGACCUCACGUAGUUUUUUAAUAGAACUCGUGUGUGACAGAAAAGGUACUCCAAGGAUAACAGGCUUGUCGCGCCCGAUAGUCCGUAUUGACGGCGCGGUUUGGUACAUCGCUGUCGGCUCUUCCUAACCUGGAUGUGUACAAGCAUCCAAGGGU
Molecule: ribosomal RNA, 1817 nt
Filed under: marine metagenome
Description: bacterial LSU rRNA
Rfam family: Archaeal large subunit ribosomal RNA
Source: RNAcentral